CGAGAGGCCAGUGGGCACUGCAUGGAGGGAUGAGAUGGACUCGGGAAGCCACAUUUCCUGUCACUGCAGAGACACUUGGGGUUUGGGACAAGAACAUCAGCCGCACUGCUGACUUCCUGGUGAUGCCUGCUCUCCAAUAAUUCCCCUGUUGACUGCAGCCAGGACGAGAAUCCCUGCUGGUGACCUUU
Mustela erminea (ermine) is the source of this 188-nucleotide long non-coding RNA. RefSeq lists it as uncharacterized. NCBI's taxonomy places the organism in Eukaryota, Metazoa, Chordata, Mammalia, Carnivora, Mustelidae. The record is from RefSeq and is a predicted model, not a curated record. The transcript has 3 exons.